Molecule: ribosomal RNA, 805 nt
Filed under: uncultured bacterium
Lineage: Bacteria
Description: bacterial SSU rRNA
Rfam family: Bacterial small subunit ribosomal RNA
Source: RNAcentral
AGAGUUUGAUCAUGGCUCAGGAUGAACGCUAGCGGCAGGCCUAAUACAUGCAAGUCGGACGGGAUCUGGAUCUAAGCUUGCUUAGAUUUAGUGAGAGUGGCGCACGGGUGCGUAACGCGUGAGCAACCUACCCAUAUCAGGGGGAUAGCCCGGAGAAAUCCGGACUAACACCGCAUGACACAACGACUCGGCAUCGAGAUGUUGUUAAAUAUUUAUAGGAUAUGGAUGGGCUCGCGUGACAUUAGCUAGUUGGUAAGGUAACGGCUUACCAAGGCUACGACGUCUAGGGGCUCUGAGAGGAGAAUCCCCCACACUGGUACUGAGACACGGACCAGACUCCUACGGGAGGCAGCAGUAAGGAAUAUUGGUCAAUGGAGGGAACUCUGAACCAGCCAUGGCCGCGUGCAGGAUGACUGCCCUAUGGGUUGUAAACUGCUUUUGUCCAGGAAUAACUACCACUACGUGUAGUGGCUUGAAUGUACUGGAAGAAUAAGGAUCGGCUAACUCCGUGCCAGCAGCCGCGGUAAUACGGAGGAUCCGAGCGUUAUCCGGAUUUAUUGGGUUUAAAGGGUGCGUAGGCGGCUUAUUAAGUCAGGGGUGAAAGACGGCAGCUCAACUGUCGCAGUGCCUUUGAUACUGAUGAGCUUGAAUGUGGUUGAAGAUGGCGGAAUGAGACAAGUAGCGGUGAAAUGCAUAGAUAUGUCUCAGAACUCCGAUUGCGAAGGCAGCUGUCUAAGUCAUUAUUGACGCUGAUGCACGAAAGCAUGGGGAUCGAACAGGAUUAGAUACCCUGGUAGUCCACGCC